UCUGAAGCGGUUAUCACUCUGGACUUCAAACAGCUGCCCCUAUCUUGGCCCCACCCAGGCACUUAUCGGGUUCUGGAAUAACAGCUCUCCAGGCUUCUGGGAGCCUGGUGGGCAAGCCACACUCCCAGCCCCCAGGCCCUCCUCAGUCUGGGGAGAGAGCGUGUGGGGGGAUGUCCCCCGAAGCCGUUUCAGGCUGGUCAGGGUAGAGAAAAAAAUCCGGCCCAGGGGCCCGGCUGGUCUAACGAGCCUGUUCAGGGCCCCAGGUGCCUCCUCUACAGCAGAGUCCUGGGCUCGGAGGGCUUCUGGGGCCCCUGGGACCCUACACAGGCCUACUCUGAGAGCACCGCCAUCCACCUUGGCCUCCAAGGGGGAAGGGGAGUUUGCAGGGAAGAAAGGCCAGGUGCCCCGAAAAACCACCCCCAGUCCACCAGGACCUCGUCCCCUUCGGGACCCAGCGGCCAAAUGGGCUGGUGGACGGGGUCCCCGGGCCAAUGCAGUGGAGGCCAGGCCCCCAGGGAGCAGCCCACGCACCGGUGGAACGCAGGCUCCAAGAAGCCCAAGUGAGUCCAGGAGGCCAAGGCUGGCCCUGACUCACCUCUGUGCAUACCAGGUGGGGCCCCCUGAGACAGGACAGUGGGGCCUCUCCCCACACCCGGGGGCAGGGGCAGGAGGGGGCGGAGGUGGGAACGCUCCCCCCAACCGUGCCCUGGAGGAGGGGGCACCGCUUUCCCCUCCCCCCGACCGGCUCAGGGACGCGUGGGGACCCGGGAAAAGCUGGCAGGGUCCCUGCACCGUCACAGGGGCAGGCAGGCAGCUGCCAGCGAGGACAGGAGGCACCCGGGGGCUAGGAUUCAGACAGCAUGUGCUCUCCUGUGCAGAGCAGUUUGUCUGUAAAUAAAGGUCAGGGUGACUGGAGCAGAGACAGCAGAGGGCAUGGAGGCUGGAGGGAGAGACAGUUGGUUUCAGAUCCUGGGGCCCGCUCAGCUGGGCGCAGAGCUCAGACUCGACCCGGGGGACCGAGGAAAGCUCUGGGCGCUCGAGUGGAGCCACCAGCACCAGCUCUGCAGGUUUGAGAGACCCUCUGGCUGCAGAGAAGGGCAUGGCAACCCACUCCAAUAUUCUUGGCUGGAGAAUCCCAUGGACAGAGGAGCCCGGUGGGCUACAGUCCAGGGGGUUGCAGAAUCGGAUACAACUGAGCGACUAAACCAGCACGUGCGGAGGGACACAGACCUGCAGAAACGCGGCGGGAGAGCCAGGGAGGGACGAGCGUCUGGGGAGAAGCCGCAGAGGCCCUCGUAUUUCUCAACAUGAAGAUGUCAGAAGCCAAGUUCCCAGCAAGUGGAGGGCCAACGGGUGUCUUUUGCUUGUUUGUUUUUGAAAAGGGAGUCUUCAUAGUCCCACAGUCCAGGACAGACAGUGUGGCUUGGUUUCCAGACCACCGAGAUGUGGCAGAUAUCGCAAUAAAGCAAGGUACACGGAGAUCUUGGUUUCCCAGCGCCCGUGACAGCUGUGUUCACACGAUCCUGGGCCCUGUUAAAUGUGCAGUAGCAUUCGUUUCUACAGAAAUGGUGUGCACACCAAAAUUAUAGAAGUUUUAUUGUUCUAAGCAUCCAGCAAUGCACGGCUGUGACUACCCUUCAGUGUAAACGACACAGCGCCUGAGGUCAGCCCAGGCUGCCUGGUCACUGACGAGCCCGCCCUGCAGCUUCUCUGUCCACCCGGGACAGUGAGGACAAGAGCAGCACAAAUUCAGGGCUUGCCCGGUGGUCCAGCGGUUAAAACUCUACGCUGCCAGUGCAGAGGGCGCGGGUUUGAUCGCUGGCUGGGGAACUAAGAUCCUGCACGCCUCUCUGUGUGGUCAAAGAAUAGAAAAAGAAGCAUAGUGUGGACUCCACUGGACACGGAGCCGCAGCCACUCUCAGCGAGUGUUGGCCAGAUGCCAAACUUCUUUCUGCCAUGAGACAUCAGAACCUGAGAGUCAGUGUGUCCAGACGCAGAUGCUGAACCCCCGCCAGGCGGCAGAAGUUCAGUGUCUGCUGCCCACAGGCACGUAGACCCGAGACUCGCUGAAGCCGGAAGGUUGGUGACGCUGACUGUCACUCACCACACCACCAGCCCGUCAGCACGGCGUCCCCGAGCUGCUCACACAGGCCUUGAGCCACGACUACUCCCUCCAGGUCUGGACACACGGCUUUGAGGGCAUUAGCCCUCUGGGGCCCCUCAGCCUUGGCAAAGCAAGUAAAGAUAUUCUUUUCUACUUCACCCCCCUUCACACACACACACACACACACACACACAAAUAGACAAUGUGAUGGAAAAUAUGAGAGAAAAAUAGGAAAAUCAGAGUUAGUCCUGGAGAGUUAAACUUCUGAAAAACAGGGGUUCUUGGAAGACAGAAGAGAGGAAACAGCAGUAAGGAAAUCCUCUUGGAAAGAGCUCAGAAAACCCCCAAAUGGAGCUGAAGCAGCCUUCAGUUUCCAAGGGCAAAUGGCAAGGCAAGUGCCCAGGAGAGAGUUUGCAAACAGAAGUCAUGCCACAGCUAACCAGGACGCCAGGGUGUGGAGCCCUUGCCAGCUCCUCUGACAUACAGAGAGGGGGUCACGGCCAAAUGACCAGCAACCAAAAGGGGUCCAUACCCUACUGGGGGCGGGGGUGGAUACAUCUCCUAGUAACUUUCUUAAAAAAAAAAAAAGCAAAAU
Bos taurus (domestic cattle) is the source of this 2699-nucleotide long non-coding RNA. Lineage: Eukaryota; Metazoa; Chordata; Mammalia; Artiodactyla; Bovidae. The record is from Ensembl.